UGGGUAGGGGAGCGUUCUGUAAGCCUGCGAAGGUGUGCUGUGAGGCAUGCUGGAGGUAUCAGAAGUGCGAAUGCUGACAUAAGUAACGAUAAAGCGGGUGAAAAGCCCGCUCGCCGGAAGACCAAGGGUUCCUGUCCAACGUUAAUCGGGGCAGGGUGAGUCGACCCCUAAGGCGAGGCCGAAAGGCGUAGUCGAUGGGAAACAGGUUAAUAUUCCUGUACUUGGUGUUACUGCGAAGGGGGGACGGAGAAGGCUAUGUUAGCCGGGCGACGGUUGUCCCGGUUUAAGCAUGUAGGCUGAUUGUCCAGGCAAAUCCGGAUAAUCAAGGCUGAGGUGUGAUGACGAGGCACUACGGUGCUGAAGUAACAAAUGCCCUGCUUCCAGGAAAAGCCUCUAAGCAUCAGGUAACAUUAAAUCGUACCCCAAACCGACACAGGUGGUCAGGUAGAGAAUACCAAGGCGCUUGAGAGAACUCGGGUGAAGGAACUAGGCAAAAUGGUGCCGUAACUUCGGGAGAAGGCACGCUGGUGUGUAGGUGAAGCCCCUGCGGGUGGAGCUGAGACCAGUCGAAGAUACCAGCUGGCUG
This 586-nucleotide ribosomal RNA is filed under the name Klebsiella pneumoniae. RNAcentral's name for it is "partial 23S ribosomal RNA". It matches the Rfam family "Bacterial large subunit ribosomal RNA", at positions 1225 to 1796 of the family's 2925-position model. Lineage: Bacteria; Pseudomonadati; Pseudomonadota; Gammaproteobacteria; Enterobacterales; Enterobacteriaceae. The record is from RNAcentral.